This 548-nucleotide ribosomal RNA is filed under the name uncultured Glomus. RNAcentral's name for it is "SSU rRNA". It matches the Rfam family "Eukaryotic small subunit ribosomal RNA", at positions 548 to 1098 of the family's 1831-position model. The record is from RNAcentral. Lineage: Eukaryota; Fungi; Glomeromycota; Glomeromycetes; Glomerales; Glomeraceae.
UUGGAGGGCAAGUCUGGUGCCAGCAGCCGCGGUAAUUCCAGCUCCAAUAGCGUAUAUUAAAGUUGUUGCAGUUAAAAAGCUCGUAGUUGAAUUUCGGGAUCAAUUUAUUGGUCGUGCUAUUGUACGUACUGGUAUUAUUGAUUCCUAUCUUCUGACGAACCAUGAUGUCAUUAAUUUGGUGUCAUGGGGAAUCAGGACUGUUACUUUGAAAAAAUUAGAGUGUUUAAAGCAGGCUCACGCUUGAAUACAUUAGCAUGGAAUAACGAAAUAGGACGUUUGAUUCUAUUUUGUUGGUUUCUAGGAUCGACGUAAUGAUUAAUAGGGAUAGUUGGGGGCAUUAGUAUUCAAUUGUCAGAGGUGAAAUUCUUGGAUUUAUUGAAGACUAACUACUGCGAAAGCAUUUGCCAAGGAUGUUUUCAUUAAUCAAGAACGAAAGUUAGGGGAUCGAAGACGAUCAGAUACCGUCGUAGUCUUAACCAUAAACUAUGCCGACUAGGGAUCGGAUGAUGUUAAUUUUUUAAUGACUCAUUCGGCGCCUUACGGGAAAC